Molecule: long non-coding RNA, 614 nt
Filed under: Ananas comosus (pineapple)
Lineage: Eukaryota; Viridiplantae; Streptophyta; Magnoliopsida; Poales; Bromeliaceae
Description: long non-coding RNA (ACOM_LNC003610)
Source: RNAcentral
UAAUAAUUGACAUAGACGUUAUGGUUCAGUGGUUUACUUUAAUUGAAGUUAUAUGGUUUUUAUGAAUGUAACAAAGUACUUACGGAUUUAUAUGAGAUGAAAAUGAUUUUCUACCUCUCGUGGUGGAGAGUUUUAAAGAAAAAGGAUUUCUGUGUGGGAAACAGUUUUAAAAAGGUUUCUUGGUUUUCAUGACUUAGCGUUUUAAAACGAGUUUCCCGGUAGGAAACAUUUUAAAUAAUAGAUGUAGAUUUAUGGAUAAUUUAUGAUGAAUUAACUGUGGAUGUGAAUGGUGUAUGAAUAUGUGGAUGUUCAUAUGUGUGGUUGUAUCUUGUAUCGUGUAUCUUGUAUCUUGUACUUGUGCGAUGCUGUGCAAAUACAGGGGAGACUCUGUCCAUGUGAACAGUAGACUCCCUAUAUUUGGGGCGGAUCUGGUAUACCCUGGGGGUCAGAUUUUUAUUUUUUUUUAAAUUUAGGUACUUCCAUACGUAUUGACUUUUAUAUCAAAAAGGGACCUCGGGGCGUGACAAUCGCGUGCAGAAUGAGGGCGGAAUUGAGAAGCGCCGCAAAGGCAGGCGCGGAAAGAAAAACUUAAAUAAAGUAAAAUGCUAUAACUG